Molecule: ribosomal RNA, 497 nt
Filed under: uncultured bacterium
Lineage: Bacteria
Description: partial 16S ribosomal RNA
Rfam family: Bacterial small subunit ribosomal RNA
Source: RNAcentral
GAUGAACGCUGGCGGCGUGCCUAAUACAUGCGAGUCGAGCGAACGGACGAGAAGCUUGCUUUUCUGAUGUUAGCGGCGGACGGGUGAGUAACACGUGGAUAACCUACCUAUAAGACUGGGAUAACUUCGGGAAACCGGAGCUAAUACCGGAUAAUAUUUUGAACCGCAUGGUUCAAAAGUGAAAGACGGUCUUGCUGUCACUUAUAGAUGGAUCCGCGCUGCAUUAGCUAGUUGGUAAGGUAACGGCUUACCAAGGCAACGAUGCAUAGCCGACCUGAGAGGGUGAUCGGCCACACUGGAACUGAGACACGGUCCAGACUCCUACGGGAGGCAGCAGUAGGGAAUCUUCCGCAAUGGGCGAAAGCCUGACGGAGCAACGCCGCGUGAGUGAUGAAGGUCCUCGGAUCGUAAAACUCUGUUAUUAGGGAAGAACAUAUGUGUAAGUAACUGUGCACAUCUUGACGGUACCUAAUCAGAAAGCCACGGCUAACUACGUG